RNAcentral lists this ribosomal RNA (780 nucleotides) under Neocallimastix frontalis. Its description in RNAcentral is "partial large subunit ribosomal RNA". It matches the Rfam family "Eukaryotic large subunit ribosomal RNA", at positions 38 to 667 of the family's 3401-position model. Lineage: Eukaryota; Fungi; Neocallimastigomycota; Neocallimastigomycetes; Neocallimastigales; Neocallimastigaceae. The record is from RNAcentral.
GCAUAUCAAUAAGCGGAGGAAAAGAAACUAACAAGGAUUCCCUUAGUAACGGCGAGUGAAGAGGGAAGAGCUCAAAUUUGAAAUCUUCAAGGUUCUACCUUGACGAAUUGUAGUUUAAAGAAGUGUUUUCUGUUAGAUGAGUAGCAAAAGUUCCUUGGAAUGGGACAUCAUAGAGGGUGAGAAUCCCGUAUUUGGUUAUUCAUUCUAGCUUUGUGAUACACUUUCAAAGAGUCGGAUUGUUUGGGAAUGCAGUCCAAAAUGGGUGGUAAAUUUCAUCUAAAGCUAAAUAUUGGCGAGAGACCGAUAGCGAACAAGUACCGUGAGGGAAAGAUGAAAAGAACUUUGAAAAGAGAGUUAAACAGUACGUGAAAUUGUCAAAAGGGAAGCGUUUGACACCAGUGUUGUUUUUCCGAAAAUCAAUUACGAAUGGCUUGAUUUUGUGUUGUAUUGACCUUAUCAGCUUUCUUCACUUUUUUCGAGUCUUUCUUAAUGCACUUUUCGGUUAACAAGUCAACAUCAAUUUCUUUUGUUGUAAAAGAGUAUUCGGAAGGUGGCUCUCUUUUCGGAGAAAGUGUUUAUAGCCCUAUACUUCUACAAUCGGAGAGAUUGAGGUCUGCAGCGUAGAUCCUUCGGGGUUAGAUACACUUGUGCUAAGUUGUAGCUUUUCAUAGACAACUUGUUGACUAUGUUUAGUCAUGCGGCUUACUCGCUUGUGCUAUUUUACCUACGCUUAGGAUGUUGACAAAAUGGUUUUAAACGACCCGUCUUGAAACACGGACC